UACAGAGACUGCAAGCGUUAUUCGGAUUCACUGGGCGUAAAGGGUGCGCAGGCGGUUGUGUGUGUCAGGGGUGAAAGCCCGGGGCUUAACCCCGGAAUUGCGCCUGAAACUACAUGACUAGAGCAUUGGAGAGGGUAGCGGAAUUCACGGUGUAGCAGUGAAAUGCGUAGAUAUCGUGAGGAACAUCAGUGGCGAAGGCGGUCUGCUGGGCCGUUGCUGACGCUGAGGCGCGACAGCGUGGGGAGCGAACAGG
This 253-nucleotide ribosomal RNA is filed under the name uncultured bacterium. Its description in RNAcentral is "partial 16S ribosomal RNA". It matches the Rfam family "Bacterial small subunit ribosomal RNA", at positions 524 to 776 of the family's 1533-position model. The record is from RNAcentral.